GACGAACGCUGGCGGCGUGCUUAACACAUGCAAGUCGAACGGAAAGGCCCUGCUUUUGUGGGGUGCUCGAGUGGCGAACGGGUGAGUAACACGUGAGUAACCUGCCCUUGACUUUGGGAUAACUUCAGGAAACUGGGGCUAAUACCGGAUAGGAGCUCCUGCUGCAUGGUGGGGGUUGGAAAGUUUCGGCGGUUGGGGAUGGACUCGCGGCUUAUCAGCUUGUUGGUGGGGUAGUGGCUUACCAAGGCUUUGACGGGUAGCCGGCCUGAGAGGGUGACCGGCCACAUUGGGACUGUGAUACGGCCCAGACUCCUACGGGAGGCAGCAGUGGGGAAUAUUGCACAAUGGGCGGAAGCCUGAUGCAGCAACGCCGCGUGCGGGAUGACGGCCUUCGGGUUGUAAACCGCUUUCGCCUGUGACGAAGCGUGAGUGACGGUAAUGGGUAAAGAAGCACCGGCUAACUACGUG
RNAcentral lists this ribosomal RNA (468 nucleotides) under uncultured bacterium. RNAcentral describes it as "partial 16S ribosomal RNA". It matches the Rfam family "Bacterial small subunit ribosomal RNA", at positions 28 to 507 of the family's 1533-position model. The record is from RNAcentral.